UACGAAGGGGGCUAGCGUUGUUCGGAAUUACUGGGCGUAAAGGGCGCGUAGGCGGCAUGGCAAGUCACUUGUGAAAUCUCCGGGCUUAACUCGGAACGGUCAAGUGAUACUGUCGGACUAGAGUACAGAAGGGGCAACUGGAAUUCUCGGUGUAGCGGUGAAAUGCGUAGAUAUCGAGAGGAACACCUGCGGCGAAGGCGGGUUGCUGGGCUGAUACUGACGCUGGAGGCGCGAAAGCCAGGGGAGCGAACGGG
Molecule: ribosomal RNA, 254 nt
Filed under: uncultured bacterium
Lineage: Bacteria
Description: partial 16S ribosomal RNA
Rfam family: Bacterial small subunit ribosomal RNA
Source: RNAcentral